Trachymyrmex septentrionalis is the source of this 265-nucleotide long non-coding RNA. RefSeq lists it as uncharacterized. The transcript has 3 exons. NCBI's taxonomy places the organism in Eukaryota, Metazoa, Arthropoda, Insecta, Hymenoptera, Formicidae. The record is from RefSeq and is a predicted model, not a curated record.
UAGAACUCUUUGAGUAAAUUUGAAACUCGCUUUCAAUUAUAAAUUUUGAGAAUAACGUGAUACUAAUACAGGAUUCUGCUCACCAUAUGAAAAAUUGGAUCUCAAUGAAAUAUGAGUUAGCUAGUUACAUAUAAAGAUUGGUAACAAUUAUUUACCGGAGCUUAUUAACUGGCCAAAGUGAAGGAAUUGUUUAACCGAAGCACCUGCUGGGGAAUGUCCAAAUAUUAAAGAUAUUACAGAAACCCUUUGUCAUCGGAUGAGGCGC